AGUGAACGCCGGCGGCGCGCCUAAUACAUGCAAGUCGAAGGUAGCGGCACAAGGGUGAGUAACAUAUAGCUAAUUCGCCCUUUGCUGGAGGACAACAGUUAGAAAUGACUGCUAAUACUCCAUAGCAAGGGAUGAGACUAGAUCGUAUCAGCCAGUCGGUGGGGUAACGGCCUACCGAGGCUAUGACGCGUAACUGGUCUGAGAGGAUGAUCAGUCACAUUGGAACUGAGACACGGUCCAAACGCCUACGGGAGGCAGCAGUAGGGAAUAUGGCUCAAUGGGGGGAUACCUGACGCAGCAACGCCUCGACGAAGAUUACAGUUGGCGGAGCAAAAACUCUUUAAGAGAGAGAGACGGGACCAGGAGAGGAAGCGCCGGCUAGCUCCGUGGCAGCCGCCGCGGUAAUAC
RNAcentral lists this ribosomal RNA (408 nucleotides) under uncultured bacterium. Its description in RNAcentral is "partial 16S ribosomal RNA". It matches the Rfam family "Bacterial small subunit ribosomal RNA", at positions 29 to 526 of the family's 1533-position model. The record is from RNAcentral.